RNAcentral lists this ribosomal RNA (414 nucleotides) under uncultured bacterium. RNAcentral's name for it is "bacterial SSU rRNA". It matches the Rfam family "Bacterial small subunit ribosomal RNA", at positions 29 to 488 of the family's 1533-position model. The record is from RNAcentral.
AACGAACGCUGGCGGCAGGCCUAACACAUGCAAGUCGAACGCCGUAGCAAUACGGAGUGGCAGACGGGUGAGUAACACGUGGGAACGUACCUUUCGGUUCGGAAUAACUCAGGGAAACUUGAGCUAAUACCGGAUACGUGCGAGAGCAGAAAGAUUUAUCGCCGAAAGAUCGGCCCGCGUCCGAUUAGCUUGUUGGUGAGGUAAUGGCUCACCAAGGCGACGAUCGGUAGCUGGUCUGAGAGGAUGAUCAGCCACACUGGGACUGAGACACGGCCCAGACUCCUACGGGAGGCAGCAGUGGGGAAUAUUGGACAAUGGGCGAAAGCCUGAUCCAGCCAUGCCGCGUGAGUGAUGAAGGCCUUAGGUUGUAAAGCUCUUUUGUUCCGGGAAGAUAAUGACGGUACCGGAAGAAUA